UACGUAGGGGGCAAGCGUUGUCCGGAUUUAUUGGGCGUAAAGAGCGUGUAGGCGGCCAUUCAGGUCGGUUGUGAAAACUGGAGGCUUAACCUCCAGACGUCGACCGAAACCGUGUGGCUAGAGUCCGGAAGAGGAGAGUGGAAUUCCUGGUGUAGCGGUGAAAUGCGCAGAUAUCAGGAAGAACACCUGUUGCGAAGGCGGCUCUCUGGUACGGAACUGACGCUGAGACGCGAAAGCGUGGGGAGCGAACAGG
This 253-nucleotide ribosomal RNA is filed under the name uncultured bacterium. Its description in RNAcentral is "partial 16S ribosomal RNA". It matches the Rfam family "Bacterial small subunit ribosomal RNA", at positions 524 to 776 of the family's 1533-position model. The record is from RNAcentral.